AUUGAACGCUGGCGGCAGGCCUAACACAUGCAAGUCGAACGGUAACAGGAAACAGCUUGCUGUUUCGCUGACGAGUGGCGGACGGGUGAGUAAUGUCUGGGAAACUGCCUGAUGGAGGGGGAUAACUACUGGAAACGGUAGCUAAUACCGCAUAACGUCGCAAGACCAAAGAGGGGGACCUUCGGGCCUCUUGCCAUCGGAUGUGCCCAGAUGGGAUUAGCUAGUAGGUGGGGUAACGGCUCACCUAGGCGACGAUCCCUAGUUGGUCUGAGAGGAUGACCAGCCACACUGGAACUGAGACACGGUCCAGACUCCUACGGGAGGCAGCAGUGGGGAAUAUUGCACAAUGGGCGCAAGCCUGAUGCAGCCAUGCCGCGUGUAUGAAGAAGGCCUUCGGGUUGUAAAGUACUUUCAGCGGGGAGGAAGGGAGUAAAGUUAAUACCCUUGCUCAUUGACGUUACCCGCAGAAGAAGCACCGGCUAACUCCGUG
RNAcentral lists this ribosomal RNA (490 nucleotides) under uncultured bacterium. RNAcentral's name for it is "partial 16S ribosomal RNA". It matches the Rfam family "Bacterial small subunit ribosomal RNA", at positions 30 to 507 of the family's 1533-position model. The record is from RNAcentral.